UAAAUGGCCGCGGUAAUUUGACCGUGCAAAGGUAGCAUAAUCAUUUGCCUCGUAAUUGGGGGCUGGAAUGAAUGAAUAAACAAAGGCUUUUCUUUAUUUKGGAGAAAAAAAUAAUUUUCUUUUUUAGUGAAGAAGCUAAAAUAAAAAAGGGGACAAGAAGACCCUUUUGAGCUUUAUUAACUUUCUUUUUAUUUAGGGUUAAUUUGGUUGGGGCGACCGAGGAGAAUCCUCCUUAGUUAUGUUGAUCCCCAGGUUGCGAUUAAAAGAGUAAGUUACCAAAGGGAUAACAGCGUAAUCUUUUUUGAGAGUUCUUAUUAAAAAUUAKGAUUGCGACCUCGAUGUUGACUUAUAA
Molecule: ribosomal RNA, 352 nt
Filed under: Ototyphlonemertes erneba
Lineage: Eukaryota; Metazoa; Nemertea; Enopla; Monostilifera; Ototyphlonemertidae
Description: partial 16S ribosomal RNA
Rfam family: Bacterial large subunit ribosomal RNA
Source: RNAcentral